CUGAUUGUGCAAGGCUGGUUUGAUUUUUUUUUUGUGCCACUUCACUUGGGAUAUGAUGCAAUCAUCUGUCUCGUCGUGGGAAUGGGAUACUGGGUCAGUGGGUACAGGGCCUUCCGCAAGCGCAUGAUGCUGGCGUACCGCUUCCGGCCCAACCCGCUGGUACGGGAUAACGGGAUCACGGGAUCAUGGGAUCAUGGGAAUGGGGUCAGGGUCAUGGGAAUGGCAUCGUGGGGUCAGUGGGUACAGGGCCUUCCGCAAGCGCAUGAUGCUGGCGUACCGCUUCCGGCCCAACCCGCUGGUACGGGAUAACGGGAUCACGGGAUCAUGGGAUCAUGGGAUCAUGGGAAUAGGGUCAGGGUCAUGGCAUUGGGAUCAUGGGGUCAGUGAGUACGAGGCCUUCCGCAAGCGCACGAUGCUGGCGCACCGCUUCCAGCCCAACCCGCUGGUACGGGAUAACGGGAACGGGAUCAUGGGACAAUGGGAUUAUGGGAAUGGGAUCAUGGGAAUGGGGUCAGGGUAAUGGGAUUGGGAUCAUGGGAAUGGGGUCAGCGUCAUGGGAAUGGCAUCGUGGGGUCAGUGAGUACAAGGCAUUCCGCAAGCGCAUGAUGCUGGCGUACCGCUUCCGGCCCAACCCGCUGGUACGGGAUAACAACGGGAUCACGGGAUCAUGGGACAAUGGGAUCAUGGGAAUGAGGCCAGGGUAAUGGGAUUGGGGUCAGGGUCAUGGGAUUGGGAUACUGGGUCAGUGGGUACAGGGCCUUCCGCAAGCGCAUGAUGCUGGCGUACCGCUUCCGGCCCAACCCGCUGGUACGACUGGGAUCAUGGGAAUGAAGUCAGGGUAAUGGGAAUGGGGUCAGGGUCAUGGGAAUGGGGUCAGGGUCAUGGGAUUGGGAUCAUGGGAAUGGGGUCAGCGUCAUGGGAAUGGCAUCGUGGGGUCAGUGAGUACAAGGCAUUCCGCAAGCGCAUGAUGCUGGCGUACCGCUUCCGGCCCAACCCGCUGGUACGGGAUAACGGGAAUGGGAUCAUGGGAUCAUGGGAUUGGAGCUGGGAUCAUGGGAUCAUGGGAAUGAGGUCAGGGUCAUGGGAAUGGGAUCAUGGGGUCAGUGGGUACAGGGCCUUCCGCAAGCGCAUGAUGCUGGCCUACCGCUUCCGGCCCAACCCCCUGAACAACCCACGGCGACCUUACUACUGAGGAGAGUUUUUCCCACCAGAUUUCCUGG
This 1220-nucleotide long non-coding RNA is filed under the name Ficedula albicollis (Collared flycatcher). RNAcentral describes it as "lncRNA (ENSFALG00000025303.1)". Lineage: Eukaryota; Metazoa; Chordata; Aves; Passeriformes; Muscicapidae. The record is from RNAcentral.